This 460-nucleotide ribosomal RNA is filed under the name uncultured bacterium. RNAcentral describes it as "partial 16S ribosomal RNA". It matches the Rfam family "Bacterial small subunit ribosomal RNA", at positions 338 to 795 of the family's 1533-position model. The record is from RNAcentral.
CCUACGGGCGGCAGCAGUGAGGAAUAUUGGUCAAUGGACGAGAGUCUGAACCAGCCAAGUAGCGUGAAGGAUGACUGCCCUAUGGGUUGUAAACUUCUUUUAUAUGGGAAUAAAAUGUUCCACGUGUGGGAUUUUGUAUGUACCAUAUGAAUAAGGAUCGGCUCACUCCGUGCCAGCAGCCGCGGUAAUACGGAGGAUCCGAGCGUUCUCCGGAUUUAUUGGGUUUAAAGGGAGCGUAGGUGGAUUGUUAAGUCAGUUGUGAAAGUUUGCGGCUCAACCGUAAAAUUGCAGUUGAAACUGGCAGUCUUGAGUACAGUAGAGGUGGGCGGAAUUCGUGGUGUAGCGGUGAAAUGCUUAGAUAUCACGAAGAACUCCGAUUGCGAAGGCAGUUCACUGGACUGCAACUGACACUGAGGCUCGAAAGUGUGGGUAUCAAACAGGAUUAGAUACCCCAGUAGUC